GCUACCAGCUAUGCACAUUGCAGCAUGUCCUCAGUAAUGGGGGUGAUGGUCUACAAGGUCCAUCACCCACAGAGAUGAGACAAGGACUCACUCCGUUCCUUUGCC
RNAcentral lists this long non-coding RNA (105 nucleotides) under Chinchilla lanigera (long-tailed chinchilla). Its description in RNAcentral is "lncRNA (ENSCLAG00000023469.1)". The record is from RNAcentral. Lineage: Eukaryota; Metazoa; Chordata; Mammalia; Rodentia; Chinchillidae.